Molecule: long non-coding RNA, 2086 nt
Organism: Cyprinus carpio carpio
Lineage: Eukaryota; Metazoa; Chordata; Actinopteri; Cypriniformes; Cyprinidae
Source: Ensembl
CCAGGAUUUAUGUCUUGCUGCUGGCUGGUCUUCCCAGAACACAUUGACCAGGUUUUACAAGCUGGAUGUACCCUCUGUACCGUCACAUGUACUUUCGACACAGGUCGAUGCUGGAUUUGCAGAGAGACUGAGAUUAAAAUGCAGUGCUGUCUAUAUUGGAUCAGACAGUAAUGGCGCAGCACACUUAUGUGAAGUCGAACUCUGUGAUGCCAAACAACUUCCCAGUGCAAAGGAUCAUGGGGGCCCGAAGUGUCCAUCAGUUGUACCCUUCGAAAUCCUUCAUUCCGAUGGGCCCUUUGAAGUGGCCAGUUUUGAGCACUUCGGUUUGGAACGACCCUUCAAUAUGGCGGCCACGAUUGUUUACACUCCAAAGUGCCCUUCGGAGGGCAAUAUAUCCUGUUUGGAACACACCGACCGUCUUUACUGGUAAAUCACUGAAAAUGGCAGAUCAUUUCGCUAGUUAGGACCCUUAUUCCUCAGCUGGGAUUGUGUAGUGCCCUUUGAAGCAGCACUGAAACAGCAGUUUGGACUUUCAACCCGCUGGCCACCAUAAGUCCAUUGUUUGGAGAAAAAUACUGGAAUAUUUUCCUCAAAAACCUUAAUUUCUUUGAGACUGAAGACAGAGAUACAGAGGACAUGAACAUCUUGGAUGACAUGGGGCAUGGUCUGAAGAUGAUCUGAGCCAAAUUUGGUGAAAAUCGGACCAACAGUCUAGGAGGAGUUCAAAAAUGUAGGUUUUCAACAUAAAUCAAAAUAGCAGAUGGAGGAUUGGGCAUUAAGGUAUAAUUGGUAUUGAUAUUCUCUGCAUGAUCCAAGGAAUUUAUGAAGAUAAGUCUUAGGGCAAUAGGCAAAAUUAAUCCAAAGUUAUUUGCAUUGUUUGAAAUUUCAUUGUAAUUUUUGACUGUAUGGUGGUGCUGCCAUGAAAUGUUUUGAGUACCUUCAGGGCAUGGUGCCAAAGACACAUACCAAGUUUCAUAACAAUAUGCCAAUGCAUUCAUAAAAUAUAGCAUGUUUUGUCAAAAUUCAAAAUGGCCAACAUGGAAGAAUUGGGUACCAACUGACAUUCAACAUGCUGCUCCAAAUGUAAAGAGACCAGUCUUGUGAUUUUUAGCCUAACAAUUCAGAAGUUAUAAGCAAAAAUAUAACAUUUUCAUAACACCUGACCACUAGGUGGCACUGUGCUGAAACUGGGCAGAUAACCUCAGCUCAUGGUUGUCAUGACACACAACAAGUUUUGUCUGAAUAUGCUAAAGCGCUGCAGAGAUACAGCCUCACGUCCUCUUUGGCAAGCUCUUUGACAAAUUUGUUUGUACAUUAUUCUGAAACAGUUUGACUGAUAAACUUGAUUUUCAUGUCUUUUAGCCGACAUUUUCUGAAGAUUAUAUGUUUCGUUUUUGCAAAAAUCGGACUAAUGAUCUAGGAGGAGUACGAAAAAGUAGUUUUUUCAAAAAUUAAAAAUGGCAGAAAAAUUUUAUGAUGGAAAAUGACAUCACAUAGUGCAUUUGAAUCAUCUGGAGUCAAGGAGAAAUAAUAAAUUGGAGAGAAAAAAUGAUUUAGCUUCUAGCCCUUAUGGUCGAAAAGGUAUUAGCACAAACAUGCGUGCAACUUUAGAUAAGUGGUGCCAUUAGAGGGUUUGAGUUAGAGACUCCAAAUUUGGUAUAGUUAAUGUUCAGGCUGUCCUCUAUCUGUGUGCCAAAUUUAACAGCUUUUUACCAUAUGGUUCUAUGGGUUGCUAUAGACUUCCGGAGUGGAAGAAGAAGAAGAACACUAACAGAUUCAGUAGGUGCCUGUGCACCUUUGGUACUUGGCCCCUAAUAAUGCAAUCAUCAAACAAUAAUAUAAAAGCAUCCUACCGAAUGAAAUGUUGACCCAGGGAGUGGGCUGUGCCAGCUUUGGAGGUGUGGAUGGAAGCAAUCUACUCUAACAUUGUUCCGAAUCCUAUCCGGAUGUAAUCUGAAAAAAAAAAAAAAAACAUGAUUUUCUUAGCUUUUUGUUCAAAAAGUUGCUUUUUUAUGAAGCUUAGCACAUUCAAAUGUUGUUUUAAAGAAUGAAUGUAUAAAGCUGGAUUUUUUUUUAAAGAAGAAGC